RNAcentral lists this unclassified non-coding RNA (334 nucleotides) under soil metagenome. RNAcentral describes it as "partial contains 5.8S ribosomal RNA, internal transcribed spacer 2, and large subunit ribosomal RNA". The stretch from base 1 to 120 matches the Rfam family "5.8S ribosomal RNA", at positions 35 to 154 of the family's 154-position model. The record is from RNAcentral.
GAUGAAGAACGUAGCGAAAUGCGAUACGUAAUGUGAAUUGCAGAUUUCAGUGAAUCAUCGAAUCUUUGAACGCACAUUGCGCCCGCUAGUAUUCUGGCGGGCAUGCCUGUUCGAGCGUCAUUUCAACCAUCAAGCCCUGUGCUUGUGUUGGAGCCCUGCGGCUGCCGCAGGCUCCCAAACCCAGUGGCGGGCUCGUCGUCGUACCGAGUGCAGUAAACAUACCACGCUCAGGGCACGCGACGGGUGACCGGCCGUAAAACCCCCCCCUUCUCAAGGUUGACCUCGGAUCAGGUAGGAAUACCCGCUGAACUUAAGCAUAUCAAUAAGCGGAGGA